Molecule: non-coding RNA, 216 nt
Organism: Pelobates cultripes (western spadefoot toad)
Lineage: Eukaryota; Metazoa; Chordata; Amphibia; Anura; Pelobatidae
Source: the annotation of a GenBank genome assembly
CAUAUUGCAACACACACAGAUACACAGACUUACACAGUGACAGACACUGCCAGACAUGCAUACAUAUAAAUACUGCCCAAUACACACUUUUACACACAAAUACACACAGCCAGACACAUCCAUACAGAUACGCCCAGACAUGGGAGAUGUCUAAUUAAACUGUGAGAGAGAGGGUCUGAUGUGAAAUGGUGAUAUAGAAAGGAGAAAUGAUGUGUA